This 253-nucleotide ribosomal RNA is filed under the name uncultured bacterium. RNAcentral describes it as "partial 16S ribosomal RNA". It matches the Rfam family "Bacterial small subunit ribosomal RNA", at positions 524 to 776 of the family's 1533-position model. The record is from RNAcentral.
UACGAAGGGGGCUAGCGUUGCUCGGAAUUACUGGGCGUAAAGCGCGCGUAGGCGGGCCGUUAAGUCGGGGGUGAAAGCCUGGGGCUCAACCUCAGAAUUGCCUUCGAUACUGGCGGCCUGGAGCAUGAUAGAGGCGAGUGGAAUUCCGAGUGUAGAGGUGAAAUUCGUAGAUAUUCGGAGGAACACCAGUGGCGAAGGCGACUCGCUGGAUCAUUGUUGACGCUGAGGCGCGAAAGCGUGGGUAGCAAACAGG